UGGGGAAUUUUGGACAAUGGGGGAAACCCUGAUCCAGCCAUCCCGCGUGUGCGAUGAAGGCCUUCGGGUUGUAAAGCACUUUUGGCAGGAAAGAAACGUCAUGGGUUAAUACCCCGUGAAACUGACGGUACCUGCAGAAUAAGCACCGGCUAACUACGUGCCAGCAGCCGCGGUAAUACGUAGGGUGCAAGCGUUAAUCGGAAUUACUGGGCGUAAAGCGUGCGCAGGCGGUUCGGAAAGAAAGAUGUGAAAUCCCAGAGCUCAACUUUGGAACUACAUUUUUAACUACCGGGCUAGAGUGUGUCAGAGGGAGGUGGAGUUCCGAGUGUAGCAGUGAAAUGCGUAGAUAUGCGGAGGAACACAGAUGGCGAAGGCAGCCUCCUGGGAUAACACUGACGCUCAUGCACGAAAGCGUGGGGAGCAAACAGG
RNAcentral lists this ribosomal RNA (429 nucleotides) under Acidobacteriota bacterium. RNAcentral's name for it is "Acidobacteria bacterium partial 16S ribosomal RNA". It matches the Rfam family "Bacterial small subunit ribosomal RNA", at positions 355 to 776 of the family's 1533-position model. Lineage: Bacteria; Pseudomonadati; Acidobacteriota. The record is from RNAcentral.